AUUGAACGCUGGCGGCGUGCCUAACACAUGCAAGUCGAGCGGUAACAGGUGUAGCAAUACAUGCUGACGAGCGGCGGACGGGUGAGUAACGCUUGGGAAUCUGCCUGUUAGUGGGGGACAACCCGGGGAAACUCGGGCUAAUACCGCAUACGCACUACGGUGGAAAGCCGGGGACCGCAAGGCCUGGCGCUAACAGAUGAGCCCAAGUCGGAUUAGCUAGUUGGUAGGUAACGGCCACCAAGGCGACGAUCCGUAACUGGUCUGAGAGGACGACCAGUCACACCGGAACUGAGACACGGUCCGGACUCCUACGGGAGGCAGCAGUGGGGAAUAUUGGACAAUGGGCGAAAGCCUGAUCCAGCGACGCCGCGUGGGUGAAGAAGGCCUGCGGGUUGUAAAGCCCUUUCGGUGGGGAAGAAAAGCCUCGAGUUAACACCUCGGGGUCUUGACGUAACCCAUAGAAGAAGCACCGGCUAACUCUGUGCCAGCAG
This 491-nucleotide ribosomal RNA is filed under the name uncultured bacterium. Its description in RNAcentral is "bacterial SSU rRNA". It matches the Rfam family "Bacterial small subunit ribosomal RNA", at positions 29 to 514 of the family's 1533-position model. The record is from RNAcentral.